This 748-nucleotide ribosomal RNA is filed under the name uncultured bacterium. RNAcentral's name for it is "bacterial SSU rRNA". It matches the Rfam family "Bacterial small subunit ribosomal RNA", at positions 130 to 919 of the family's 1533-position model. The record is from RNAcentral.
CCCAAAGUACGGAAUAGCCUCUGGAAACGGAGAGUAAUACCGUAUGUGCCCUUCGGGGAAAGAUUUAUCGCCUUUGGAUUAGCCCGCGUCUGAUUAGAUAGUUGGUGGGGUAACGGCCUACCAAGUCGACGAUCAGUAGCUGGUUUGAGAGGAUGAUCAGCAACACUGGGACUGAGACACGGCCCAGACUCCUACGGGAGGCAGCAGUGGGGAAUCUUAGACAAUGGGCGCAAGUGAUCUAGCCAUGCCGCGUGAGUGACGAAGGUCUUAGGAUCGUAAAGCUCUUUCGCCAGGGAUGAUAAUGACAGUACCUGGUAAAGAAACCCCGGCUAACUCCGUGCCAGCAGCCGCGGUAAUACGGAGGGGGUUAGCGUUGUUCGGAAUUACUGGGCGUAAAGCGCACGUAGGCGGAUUAUUAAGUCAGAGGUGAAAUCCCGGGGCUCAACCCCGAACUGCCUUUGAUACUGGUAAUCUUGAGUUCGAGAGAGGUGAGUGGAAUUCCGAGUGUAGAGGUGAAAUUCGUAGAUAUUCGGAGGAACACCAGUGGCGAAGGGGCUCACUGGCUCGAUACUGACGCUGAGGUGCGAAAGUGUGGGGAGCAAACAGGAUUAGAUACCCUGGUAGUCCACACCGUAAACGAUGAAUGCCAGACGUCGGGGGGCUUGCCUUCGGUGUCACACCUAACGGAUUAAGCAUUCCGCCUGGGGAGUACGGUCGCAAGAUUAAAACUCAAAGGAAUUGACGGGGG